This 302-nucleotide long non-coding RNA is filed under the name Pogona vitticeps (central bearded dragon). RNAcentral's name for it is "lncRNA (ENSPVIG00000022597.1)". Lineage: Eukaryota; Metazoa; Chordata; Lepidosauria; Squamata; Agamidae. The record is from RNAcentral.
UAUAUUUCCUGCCUUUAGGGUUUAAAUAUUGUGUGACUUCACCUGCCUUUCUGUUCUUUUUGAACAGUUUACACCCUUCAAUUGCCAUAUUCCAGUCAUGGAAUUCACCAGAGCAAGUGAACAAGAGGAGGAAGAAGAGCAACAGCAACAAUGAGGAAUCCCGCCGCCACCACUUUGUCAUCCCAAUCUCAUGCUGGAACUGGUAGAAAAAAAAAUCCACGGGUAUUAGCUGGUUUGGUUUGUCUUCUUCAUCACUCGCCCGCUAGAAAAACAAUUGAAAUGCCCAAACAGACUGGAGAAAA